GGAAGGAUCAUUGACACGUAUCCACGUAUCAACUAAAACCACGAACUGUUCUCCCCGUAGACAACCUACCUCUGCGCUGUUCUUCCGAGUCUAUAAUGGGUCGCACUUCGGUGUGACAGGGCUCGGUUGUGACUAUUCACUCCUCGAAGUGAUGGCAAAGUAAUUGGCUUGUCGGGCUUUAUUCUUCAUUCCAUUUGAAUGUACCCAUUCUUCCAUUCAUGGCUUGAUAAACCAUACCCGUUUCACCAUAUGUUACCUAUUUGGCUAAUUACUACAUUCUUUGGAGAGAAAUCUCUAUGGAAUUCUAAGAUUUAUCUUAACUAAGCACAACUCUUAGCAAUGGAUAUCUUGGUUCUCGCAACGAUGAAGAACGCAGCGAAAUGCGAUAUGUAAUGCGAAUUGCAGAGUUCAGUGAAUCAUCGAAUCUUUGAACGCAAAUUGCGCUCUCGGGAUAGACCUGGGAGCACGCCUCUCUGAGUAUCGGUUCAACCCAUCUCGGUUGGCGUAUUGAGUUUCGGCUUGAUGCGCCUAAUCCGGAAAAUGAGAGUCUUGGCUACAUCUAAAGCGGCUAAGUCUCUUGAAAUAUGUUGAGCUUAGAUCGACUAGUAUUACCUUUCUAACUUCGGUUGGAAUAGCCAUUCUUGGCUCUUUCUCUACUAGUGACGUGGAUAAUCUCACCCUCGUGGUGUCUUGAAACGUUGCUUCUUGCAUUGAAAGGUUCAUAGACAAGUUUGGUGAAAGAAACUAGAUCUGAUCUGUAGCGUUGGAAUUGAUUUUCUGUGGUUGGCUCCUUUCCUCUCUCGGGCGGAUUGGGUCUGGCCAUAGAAACCUCUUUCGAAUUAGAUCUCAGAUGAAGUGAGAAGACCCCCUGAAUUUAAGCAUAUUAAUAAGGGGAGGAAAAGAAACUAACAAGGAUUCCCCUAGUAACGGCGAGUGAAGCGGGAAGAGCUCAAUUUGAAAAUCGGUGCUCCAAGCGGGUCAUCGAAUUGUAGCCUAGAGGACGUGUCAUCAGCGUGUGAGCCAGGUACAAGUCCUUUGGAAGAAGGCAUCAGAGAGGGUGAGAAUCCCGUCCUUGACCUGGAGUUCGCCGCGUACGAUGCAUGUUCACAGAGUCGAGUUGUUUGGGAUUGCAGCUCUAAAUGGGUGGUAAGUUUCAUCUAAAGCUAAAUAUUGGCGAGAGACCGAUAGCGAACAAGUACCGUGAGGGAAAGAUGAAAAGAACUUUGAAAAGAGAGUUAAAAAGUACUUGAAAUUGCUAAGAGGGAAGCGCUGGAAACCAGUCGUUACUCGCAGUCAUAUCGAUUGUUUGCUCCCGAAGGAGUGUGCUGUUAGUGGGCGAACCCUAGCAGUAUGCUCGGACGGAGGGUAGAUGGUUCUGUGGCUGUGAGUGUGUCAGGAUCAAUUCGAUUCGCAGGAGAAAGUAAUGAGGAAGGUAGGGCUGCUUUCGGGUAGCCUGUUAUAGCCUUGUUACCAUACUGUGGGUUGGAUUGAGGAAGUAAUGUUGCGCCUUUUUGGCUUGGUACCUUGUUCCUGCUGGAUCAUCUGGUUUGGAUAGCAAUGCUAUGCGGCUAGAGAAGUCUGGUACUGGGUGAGACUACCAUAUGCAUCAUCGCGAUCCUGACGAAAUGGUUUUCAUCGACCCGUCUUGAAACACGGACCAAGGAGUCUAACAUAUAUGCGAGUAUUUGGGUGGUAAACCCUGGUGCGUAAUGAAAGUAAAGGCAGCUUGUCUGCUGAGGUAGGAACCCGGCAACGGGGGCACUAUCGACCGAUCAUCACUUGUGAAAGAUUUGAGUAAGAGCAUAUCUGUUGGGACCCGAAAGAUGGUGAUCUAUGCCUGAACAGGGUGAAGCCAGGGGAAACUCUGGUGGAAGCUCGUAGCGAUACUGACGUGCAAAUCGUUCGUCUGAUUUGGGUAUAGGGGCGAAAGACUAAUCGAACCAUCUAGUAGCUGGUUCCCUC
Molecule: unclassified non-coding RNA, 1962 nt
Filed under: uncultured fungus
Lineage: Eukaryota; Fungi
Description: sequence contains 18S rRNA gene, ITS1, 5.8S rRNA gene, ITS2, 28S rRNA gene
Rfam family: Eukaryotic large subunit ribosomal RNA (bases 842-1962)
Source: RNAcentral